AUGCUUCUACUUUCUGUAUGGAGCUGGGAGCGUCUGCCUGUUGGACGCCCGAAGAGCGUCAGGUUUAAUCCUUGGUAUGAAGAUGAACAUGACGAAUUACGGCGCCCCACUUGGGCUUACAAGUGGGAUGUGGUUUCCGAGAUGACGAACGAUGUCAAUCUCAUGUACCAGAAGUACGUUGCCUAG
Molecule: ribosomal RNA, 186 nt
Filed under: Triticum aestivum (bread wheat)
Lineage: Eukaryota; Viridiplantae; Streptophyta; Magnoliopsida; Poales; Poaceae
Description: partial small subunit ribosomal RNA
Source: RNAcentral